Molecule: long non-coding RNA, 1590 nt
Organism: Gorilla gorilla gorilla (western lowland gorilla)
Lineage: Eukaryota; Metazoa; Chordata; Mammalia; Primates; Hominidae
Exons: 2
Source: RefSeq, a predicted model, not a curated record
GCCCUGCCAGGCGGAGUGUGGAGGAGGCCGCCAUUUUCAUUUUCAGGCGAGGGCGCUCAGGCGAGCGUGGGGCGCCAGCAGGUGACGCCACGCAGCGCCCCGCCCCGCCCCCUGCUGAGCGCCCCGCUUCCGCCGUGAGGAUCCGCUCCAGCCUCUCCUUCCUCUGAGGAAGGCAGUGAUGCUGUCUGUGCAUCGGUCUGACCCUCUUCUGAGCAGGCCCGGGAGUCCGGCUACCUGUGAGGCCUGGCCCCCAGCCCGGGGCUCACCUGCUGGAGGCACCUUCUGGAAGCUGAAGUUUCCUGCUGCACAUCGCUCUGCUGAGGCCCUGUGGGGAGGGCAGCGCCGGUUUUUCAGGCAGCGAUAGAAGGGCUAACAAUGGGGGGAAGUGCCUCGUUGGCCUGCUUUCUUUCCUAGUUAUCACUAAGAAAACAGGCUCCGUGGAAGCUGGGGUUAUCUCAAAGGCUGCUCCAUGAGUGGGGGAUGAGGGCGUCAGCUCUCCUGGAAAUGCUCAGGUCCGGCCUCUGCCCCAGGGUGAGCCACGGCCCGGGCUGCAGGCUGAGAGAGAGAGGGAUUUCACUUCAAAUUGAGAGGGGGGUUUUCGUUUUAUUUCCGGUCAUGAGAACACUUUUCUGACCUCAGGGAAGAUCACGUUUUUUGACUCUCCUCUCCUGACACCUUCCUAAAGCCUUGCUCAACUUGCAGAUGGACACUGGGGACUUGGUGCUCAGUUUGCGGAUGGAACCCCCUCCCCGUCUGGGGGCUUGGCGAAAACUCAGACUCUCGGGUCCUGCCCUUCCUUCAGGCUCCCAGGGUGGCCAGGCAGGGUCCUGGGACAAUCUUGACCCAAACAACCUCUAAGAUCUCUGAAGAAUUGCGGUUGCAGCCCCUCCCCGCUUCCCUGGACCUCGGGUGGUGAAAUCCUACAGAUCAAAGGACCAGGGCCUGGGCGCCCCUCCUGGGCACCGCCUGGGGUCGGAGUGCCCUCCCCAGGGACCCUGGUGGCCCAGACGCUGCUCCGCUGUGCACCUGCCUCUGUCCCGGCUCCCUGAUCACCGGCGCAUUAGGGCUCGCGGAUCACCCGGCAGGCGGCCUCCAGGAGCUGAGAGUAGGAAGGAGCAUAGAGACCUCUGUCCUGCAACUGCCAGAAGAAAAUUCCCCCAGCAAUUGGGAGCUGAAAAGUGGCCCUCAGCCCAUAGAAGUCUCACAGCCCUGGCCGGUGCCAUGAAUUCAGCCUGCUAAGACCCGAAAGUGAAGUUGCAACAUGCCCAGGCCACUGACCUGCGGAAACUGAGCUGAGGGUUGGUGCUACUCGAAGCGCCUGUGCUCAUGGAAAUUUGUUAUUCAGCAACAGGAAAUUCGUGCAAAUAGAAAAGGCUGCCUCAAACAUGGUCAUUGAUAACCGGACACUGCCAUGUUCCAGCCCCAGGAAUAAGACACAAAUGGUUCUCGUGAGCGCUCGGCCGUCCAUCAAAGCAAGCCUUGAUUCCACACAGGAGAGAAAUCUGAUGACUCAGGCCCUGGGGCCUUUUGGGUUCAGGAUAAUUGUGAGUUUGUUAUACUGAAUUUCUUAACAGGAAUUUAAUGAACAAG